GAUGAACGCUGGCGGCGUGCCUAAUACAUGCAAGUCGAGCGAACGGACGCGAAGCUUGCUUCUCUGAUGUUAGCGGCGGACGGGUGAGUAACACGUGGAUAACCUACCUAUAUGACUGGGAUAACUUCGGGAAACCGGAGCUAAUACCGGAUAAUAUCUUGAACCGCAUGGUUCAAAAGUGAAAGACGGUCUUGCUGUCACUUAUAGAUGGAUCCGCGCUGCAUUAGCUAGUUGGUAAGGUAACGGCUUACUACGGCGACGAUGCAUAGCCGACCUGAGAGGGGGAUCGCCCACACGAGAACUGGAACACGGUCCAGACUCCUGCGAGAGGCAGCAGUAUGGAAUCUUCCGCAAUAGGCGAAAGCCUGACGGAGCAACGCCGCGUGAGUGAUGAAGGUCUUCGGAUCGUAAAACUCUGUUAUUAGGGAAGAACAUAUGUGGAAGUAACUGUGCACAUCGUGACGGUACCUAAUCAGAAAGCCACGGCUAACUACGUG
Molecule: ribosomal RNA, 497 nt
Filed under: uncultured bacterium
Lineage: Bacteria
Description: partial 16S ribosomal RNA
Rfam family: Bacterial small subunit ribosomal RNA
Source: RNAcentral